ACGUAGGGUGCGAGCGUUGUCCGGAAUUAUUGGGCGUAAAGAGCUCGUAGGCGGUCUGUCGCGUCGAAUGUGAAAACCCGGGGCUCAACUCCGGGCUUGCAUUCGAUACGGGCAGGCUAGAGUUCGGUAGGGGAGUCUGGAAUUCCUGGUGUAGCGGUGAAAUGCGCAGAUAUCAGGAGGAACACCGGUGGCGAAGGCGGGACUCUGGGCCGAUACUGACGCUGAGGAGCGAAAGCGUGGGGAGCGAACAGGA
This 253-nucleotide ribosomal RNA is filed under the name uncultured prokaryote. Its description in RNAcentral is "partial 16S ribosomal RNA". It matches the Rfam family "Bacterial small subunit ribosomal RNA", at positions 525 to 777 of the family's 1533-position model. The record is from RNAcentral.